This 428-nucleotide ribosomal RNA is filed under the name Alcaligenes sp. RNAcentral's name for it is "bacterial SSU rRNA". It matches the Rfam family "Bacterial small subunit ribosomal RNA", at positions 22 to 420 of the family's 1533-position model. The record is from RNAcentral. Lineage: Bacteria; Pseudomonadati; Pseudomonadota; Betaproteobacteria; Burkholderiales; Alcaligenaceae.
GCUCAGAUUGAACGCUAGCGGGAUGCUUUACACAUGCAAGUCGAGAGGCAGCUCGAGAGUGCUUGCUCUCUUGGCGGGGAGUGGCGGCCCGGUGAGUUAUAUAUCGGUAUUUGCCCAGUAGGGGGGGAUAAUUACUCGCAAGAGUGGAUAAUCCUGCAUAUUCCCUACGAAUUUCAGGGCAACAGGGGGGGAUCGCACAGACCUCUCACAUAUUGGAGCGCGCCGAUAUCGGAUUAGCUAGUUGGUGGGGUAAGCCCUGGCAUCACACAACGGACUUAACGAUCCGCCUACGCUGGUUUGAGAGGACGGCCCGCCACAUUGGGACUGAGACACGAGCGCCAGACGUCUUACGGGAGGCAGCAGUGGGGAAUUUUGGGCAAGGGGGGAAACCGUGAUCCAGCCCUCCCGCGUGUGCAUGAAGCCCUCCG